UCUCUCUCUCUCUUUCUCUCCUUCUCUCUCGCUCUCCUGCUUGCUCCCUCACAUGUUCAUAUAAUUUCUUCGCUGCUGCCAGAUCUAAAUUACAUCGUUUCUUCGCGGAGAUUGAAACUACGACCAGGAGCACCACCGCUCCGGUGAGGUACCGUACCAUCGUGUCUCGUCGCCAGUGAGAAAUUUGAUCGGAGAAGAGGAUAGAGAAGAAGAAUAUCCUGUUGCUAGAGAAGAAGAUAGAUAGGUGUGUGUAUGUAGAGGUGUGUGUAUAUAUUUGCAGAGACUUCGAUGAUUUUGUUUAUUAAUUUAUAAGGAUUAAAUUAUAUCUACGGUAAAAUAUAUCGAGAUUCGAGAUUGAAUAUAUAUUUGUCAAUUGUGCUUCUGAGAUUAUUCAUGUAAUUUAAAAUUUUAAAUAAAGUGGGUGUUGAAAAUCACUUGUUGUAAGUCAAUGUAUGCAACUUUGUGCAGAGUAAUUAAAGAUGAAGACCGGAUGGAAACGCUAAAGCUGGCCAUGAUCUAAAGUUUAACCCUUGAAUAAUCAUAGUAGUGCAGCUGUGCAGCCCCAGUGAAGACGCUUCCAACUCGACAAUGGCUAGUAGUAAAGAUAUUUAAUGGCUAGUUGUAGGAUUUACGAUUUAGUGCUUUGUUUAUAUUUUGGGUGCUUUGUGUCAAAUAUGACUUAGUGCUUUGUGUUAAAUUUUUUGAUGCUUUGUUCACGGACAUUUGGUGCUUUGCGUGAAAUAUUUGGUGCUUGGUGCUUUAUAUUUUUUUGGUGCUUUGUGUAUUUUUUUGGUGCUCUGCGGGUAUUAUUUUAUGCUUCGUGUAUAUUUUUAAAUUACUAUUCUGUAUGUGUUUUUAAAUUAGUG
RNAcentral lists this long non-coding RNA (866 nucleotides) under Daucus carota (carrot). RNAcentral's name for it is "long non-coding RNA (DCAR_LNC006364)". Lineage: Eukaryota; Viridiplantae; Streptophyta; Magnoliopsida; Apiales; Apiaceae. The record is from RNAcentral.